UCUCUGGUGGUCCAGUGGGUAAGACACUGUGCUCCCAAUGCAGAGGGACCAGGUUCAAUCCCUGGUCAGGGAA
Molecule: non-coding RNA, 73 nt
Organism: Dama dama (fallow deer)
Lineage: Eukaryota; Metazoa; Chordata; Mammalia; Artiodactyla; Cervidae
Source: the annotation of a RefSeq genome assembly